Molecule: long non-coding RNA, 420 nt
Organism: Solea senegalensis (Senegalese sole)
Lineage: Eukaryota; Metazoa; Chordata; Actinopteri; Pleuronectiformes; Soleidae
Exons: 5
Source: RefSeq, a predicted model, not a curated record
UUAGCACAUGCUUGUCUGGAUGUCUUCACCUUUGUUUACUGCUAACCUGAACCAAGUAAAGAAAGGACUGGAACUAAACCUGCAUUUGAUCCUCACAUGGCUCCAUCAAAUGUCAUCAUCUGCAGGAACAUGCAGCAUGAAGUGGUGAAAAAGUCUUGCUAUAGAUCUGCGUAGCUGUGGAGAAAACACCGCUGCUCCAUUAGCCGAGCAACAACAAUCGAGGGAUCGCGGUGAAACAUUCAUCAUCCACAGGCUCCGCCUCCUCUUGGUCCCUGCCAGUCGGUCUGUCUUCCAGCGUUUUUCUGCAGUAUCCAAAAAUGAGGCUGUUGUUUGACACUUCCUUCUUCUCGUGCUCUGAAUAAUAUAUUGGAAAUUAACAUCUCGGGUUGAAUGGGGGAGGCUACAAAGAGACGUGCAUGU